This 497-nucleotide ribosomal RNA is filed under the name uncultured bacterium. RNAcentral describes it as "partial 16S ribosomal RNA". It matches the Rfam family "Bacterial small subunit ribosomal RNA", at positions 28 to 507 of the family's 1533-position model. The record is from RNAcentral.
GAUGAACGCUGGCGGCGUGCCUAAUACAUGCAAGUCGAGCGAACGGACGAGAAGCUUGCUUCUCUGAUGUUAGCGGCGGACGGGUGAGUAACAAGUGGAUAACCUACCUAUAAGACUGGGAUAACUUCGGGAAACCGUAGCUAAUACCGGAUAAUAUUUUGAACCGCAUGGUUCAAAAGUGAAAGACGGUCUUGCUGUCACUUAUAGAUGUAUCCGCGCUGCAUUAGCUAGUUGGUAAGGUAACGGCUUACCAAGGCAACGAUGCAUAGCCGACCUGAGAGGGUGAUCGGCCACACUGGAGCUGAGACACGGUCCAGACUCCUACGGGAGGCAGCAGUAGGGAAUCUUCCGCAAUGGGCGAAAGCCUGACGGAGCAACGCCGAGUGAGUGAUGAAGGUCUUCGGAGCGUAAAACUCUGUUAUUAGGGAAGAACAUAUGUGUAAGUAACUGUGCACAUCUUGACGGUACCUAAUCAGAAAGCCACGGCUAACUACGUG